Molecule: ribosomal RNA, 375 nt
Filed under: uncultured soil bacterium
Lineage: Bacteria
Description: bacterial SSU rRNA
Rfam family: Bacterial small subunit ribosomal RNA
Source: RNAcentral
AGAGUGAACGCUGGCGGUAGGCCUAACACAUGCAAGUCGAACGGCAGCACAGUAGGAGCUUGCUCUUACGGGUGGCGAGUGGCGGACGGGUGAGGAAUACAUCGGAAUCUACCUUUUGGUGGGGGAUAACGUAGGGAAACUUACGCUAAUACCGCAUACGCCCUUCGGGGGAAAGCCGGGGACCAGCAAUGGCCUGGCGCUGAUAGAUGAGCCGAUGUCGGAUUAGCUAGUUGGUGAGGUAAUGGCUCACCAAGGCGACGAUCCGUAGCUGGUCUGAGAGGAUGAUCACGCCACACUGGAACUGGACGACGACGGUACCAGACCUACCGUACGGGAGCAGCGAGGUGGGAAUAGUAGGACAAGUGGGACGACGAA